UGCGGCGGCUAGAGCCGCGGGGACCCACCUCUACCCAUACCGAACAGAGAAGUUAAGCCCGCGCGCGCCGAUGGUACUGCCCCACCAGGUGGGAGAGUAGGUCGCUGCCGCUU
RNAcentral lists this ribosomal RNA (113 nucleotides) under Candidatus Cryptobacteroides gallistercoris. Lineage: Bacteria; Pseudomonadati; Bacteroidota; Bacteroidia; Bacteroidales. The record is from RNAcentral.